This 433-nucleotide ribosomal RNA is filed under the name uncultured bacterium. RNAcentral's name for it is "partial 16S ribosomal RNA". It matches the Rfam family "Bacterial small subunit ribosomal RNA", at positions 29 to 507 of the family's 1533-position model. The record is from RNAcentral.
AACGAACGCUGGCGGCAGGCCUAACACAUGCAAGUCGAGCGAGGACUUCGGUCCUAGCGGCGGAUGGGGGAGUAGCGCGUGGGAAGGUUCCCUUUGCUUCGGAAUAGCCCUGGGACACUGGGAGUAAUACCGGAUGAGCCCUGUUGGGGAAAGAUUUAUCGGCCCAGGAUCGGCCCGCGUUGGAUUAGGUAUUUGGGGUGGUAAUGGCCUACCAAGCCGACGAUCCAUAGCUGGUUUGAGAGGAUGCUCAGCCACACUGGGACUAAGAAACGGCCCAGACUCUUACGGGAGGCAGCAGAGGGGAAUCUUGGAAAAUCGGGGAAACCAUGAACUAGCCAUGCUGGGUGAGCGAUGAAGGCCGGAGGGUAGUAAAGCUCUUUCAGCUGGGAAGAUAAUGACGGUACCAGCAGAAGAAGCCCCGGCUAACUCCGUG